UAGUACGAGAGGACCGGGAUGGACGUACCUCUGGUGCACCAGUUGUCGUGCCAACGGCACAGCUGGGCAGCUAAGUACGGAUCGGAUAAACGCUGAAGGCAUCUAAGCGUGAAGCCGGCCUCAAGAUAAGAUAUGCCACUGAGUAAUCAGGUAAGACCCCUUGAAGACUACAAGGUUGAUAGGCCGCAUGUGGAAGCGUCGUGAGGCGUGCAGCAAGGCGGUACUAAUCGGUCGAGGGCUUGACCA
RNAcentral lists this ribosomal RNA (246 nucleotides) under Anaerotruncus colihominis. Its description in RNAcentral is "partial 23S ribosomal RNA". It matches the Rfam family "Bacterial large subunit ribosomal RNA", at positions 2679 to 2925 of the family's 2925-position model. The record is from RNAcentral. Lineage: Bacteria; Bacillati; Bacillota; Clostridia; Eubacteriales; Oscillospiraceae.